RNAcentral lists this ribosomal RNA (253 nucleotides) under uncultured bacterium. RNAcentral describes it as "partial 16S ribosomal RNA". It matches the Rfam family "Bacterial small subunit ribosomal RNA", at positions 524 to 776 of the family's 1533-position model. RNAcentral also lists the same sequence under 1 other name. The record is from RNAcentral.
UACAGAGGUCUCGAGCGUUAAUCGGAAUUACUGGGCUUAAAGGGUGCGUAGGCGGUUCCGUAAGUGCCUUGUGAAAUCCCAUGGCUUAACCAUGGAAUUGCUCGGUAGACUGCGGGGCUUGAGGUCAGUAGGGGUCGCUGGAACUCUAGGUGGAGCGGUGAAAUGCGUAGAUAUCUAGAGGAACGCCAAAGGUGAAGACAGGCGACUGGGCUGAAUCUGACGCUGAGGCACGAAAGCGUGGGUAGCGAACGGG